This 248-nucleotide ribosomal RNA is filed under the name uncultured bacterium. RNAcentral describes it as "partial 16S ribosomal RNA". It matches the Rfam family "Bacterial small subunit ribosomal RNA", at positions 523 to 769 of the family's 1533-position model. The record is from RNAcentral.
AUACGUAGGUGGCGAGCGUUGUCCGGAAUUACUGGGCGUAAAGGAUGCGUAGGUGGAUAUUUAAGUGGGAUGUGAAAUCCCCCGGGCUCAACCCGGGAACUGCAUUCCAAACUGGGCAUCUAGAGUGCAGGAGAGGAAAGCGGAAUUCCUAGUGUAGCGGUGAAAUGCGUAGAUAUUAGGAGGAACACCAGUGGCGAAGGCGGCUUUCUGGACUGUAACUGACACUGAGGCAUGAAAGCGUGGGUAGC